This 40517-nucleotide long non-coding RNA is filed under the name Populus trichocarpa (black cottonwood). RNAcentral describes it as "long non-coding RNA (PTRI_LNC000437)". Lineage: Eukaryota; Viridiplantae; Streptophyta; Magnoliopsida; Malpighiales; Salicaceae. The record is from RNAcentral.
GUGUUUGAGUUCUAGAAUUACCCAACACGUCCCUCGCUCAAAGUCUGCCAAAGCUAGAAGGCUAUUACAUAAGAAAUUGCGGUGAAUUGAAGCAUAUUAUCUGAGAAGAGGAUGGUGAAAGGGAAAUAAUUCCACAGACUCCUGGCUUCCCAAAAUUAAAAUCUAUCUUCAUAGAAGACUGUGGAAAACUGGAAUGUGUCCUCCCUGUCUCUGUGUCUCCAAGCCUUCUGAACCUGGAAGAGAUGCAGAUUUUUAAAGCUCAUAAUUUAAAGCAAAUAUUUUACAGUGGAGAAGGAGAUGCACUCACCACAGAUGGCAUCAUCAAAUUCCCUCGACUAAGUAAAUUGGAUCUUUCUUCCAGAUCAAAUUACAGUUUUUUUGGUCCCAAGAAUUUUGCUGCUCAAUUGCCUUAUUUGCAAAUUCUAAAAAUUGACGGCCACAAAGAAUUGGGAAAUUUGUUUGCAAAGCUCCAAGUACGUCCUUUAUAUUUCUCCAAUAAUUUUUUUCCUUUUUAAUUUAAAUUGUCAACUUCAAUACAUGUUGAUUUCUUCCUUUAAAUUUCUGAAACUGAAGUAAUUGAUAAGUAGAGAUAAAUCCUUUAGCCAUCCACUAAAUUUAAAAGGAGUUGUCUAACUGUAUCUGUCAUGACCUGAUUCCCAGAUCCAUGACCGGCACAUAGGCAAGGUUUCCCUCCAAGGUUCCAUACCUAUGCGAACCCAAACUUACAUACAAACUUAUCCUAACUCAAUCAGAGUUCAACGCAGCAUUAAUAACAAAAUCAACUUCAUAAUAUAAUUGAAUUGUCUUAAUACAAGAGUUAAUAUAAUUUCAUAAUUUUGGAGUUCUAACUAGACAUAAAGGAAAAUGUACAAGUUACAACCAAAAGAGCAGGUUCUGAAGGUCCAACAAAAGUGACUUGCUAUUAAGCUAUAGCCUGAAAAGGAUAAAUAAUGAGAGAGUGAGUUCAAAAUCAAGCUAUAAGCCUGAAAGGAUAAAUAAUGAGAGAGUGAGUUCAACAACUCAGUGAGUAGAUAAUAUUCAAUACACACACACGAGGUAAUACAGCAAUGAGAAAUAUAUAUACAAGUAUGGCUCUAGGUUCUUAUAGGAAGGUUUCUCAAAUAGGCCAUAACAAGAAUAUCAUAUGGUAAAACUCGUCAGAAAAUCAAAAUGCAAUGAGCAUAAGGCUCCGUACUGUGAGAUGAUCAGUUCACACAGGUUGGUGACUCCCCCGACCAACUAGGGUUCAGAUACGAUGUGCACAAAGACUAACACUACCCUGUUAGCAUGGGUAUUCUGACUGACAUACCAUAGCCUCAUAAUCAUAAUCAAACAUACAUAUUCAUAUCUUAAGGCUCAACUCAUGACAUCAAUCAAAUAAGGAGUUAUCAAUUCAGAAGUCAAUUCAAAAUAUAUACUGGUUCAUAUCAAGAAUUCAGAUUUAACAAUUGAUCAUACUUUAUCAUAACAAGGAUAAUAAUCAACAUAUAUAUUAUCAAGAAGCAUGAUCCAAUUCACAUUAACAAAUAAAAUAUUUAUAAUAUUUCUCAUGCAUAUGGAAAAUUAUCCACUCACCUGACUCGAAAGCAAACAGAAAUCAAAAGCAGACACCGAAGAAAAUCCUACUGACGUCCCGCCGGUAGAAUAUCAGGAUUAUCUGAAUAUAGAGGAGACAUAUUCAAGAAUGACUCAAAAGAAUAUAUAACCUAUUUAAUACACUUAUCUAAGGGUGUAUUCCAUAACCCUAUAUGUUUUUGAACUAACUAGUUAUUUUUCCUAAAAACCCAACAUUUAAUGGUUUUCCCGAAAUCUAAUCCAAUAAUAAAACAAAUAAUAAAAUUGGUAAUAAUUCACUAAAUAACCCUCAAUUAUUCAUCAAACCAAACUGCACAAGCUAAUAUUACAGCUAGGGACUAAUCUGUAAUUUAUCAUAUUUUUAAGGGUCAAAUUGUAACUUUUGUCAAAUUGAAGGACCAAACUAAUUAAAAUAUCAUAAAUCCAUUACUAUACUGAAAUUCUGAACAUAAUUAAUCCUCAUUUCUGUCAAGAAUAUCUCAUUAUACUCCAGGGACCAUUCUGGAAUUUUACCAAAUUUUUAGGGUCAAAUUGUAAUUUUUGUCAAAUUGAAGGACUAAAUUGAAAGUGUUAAAAUUUCAAAACUAUACAGGAAUUCUGCCCAUAAUUCAUCUUUUAUUCUGUUUAGAAUCUCGGAAUAGGCUCUAGGGACCAAUCUGUAAAUUUUCCAAAGUUUGGGGACUAAACUGUAAUUUCCAUAAAUUGAAGGACCAAAUUGAAUUUUCAUCAUCUUCCACCUCCAACCCAGAAUUUCAACAGAAAACCCACUGUUCUUUCCUUAUUUCUAACAGAAAUUCACCAUUCAAACAAAAUCAUAACUCAAAAUCAUCAUAAUCUUCCAUAAUCAACUAAAUAAUCAAUUACCCACAACAAUCAACCCCAUAACAUUUAAUUUAAUUCAUCAAUUAAACCCAAAACAUAAAUUUUCAAAACCCUAACAUUCAUCAAAACUGAAAUUAAAGUUCAAUUAACAUACAUUUAUACAUUUAACAACCUAAAUCUUACCUUUAAACUUAUUUCUUCAAUUCCUUUCUAUUUCCCUAAAUUUAAAUUUAUACUCUUUAAGCCUCCAAGGGCUUUGUUGCCAUUUCCUAUCUUUUUUUUUUAUUUCAAAAUAUUACAAUCUCCCCACCUUAUAAAAGUUUCGUCCUCAAAACUUAAUAGAAAAGAUUGAAUACUUACCGAGAUUAUCGAAAAGAUGAGGAUACUCCUGACGCAUCUUAUCCUCGAGCUCCCAUGUCGCUUCCUCACGUGAAUGACCUUUCCAUUUCACUUUCACUGAAGCUAUAUCCUUCGACUGAAGCUUCCUCACUUGCCGGUCGAUUAUAGCUUCCGAUUGCACCUCAUAAACCAUAUCAUCUCUCAAUUCAAUGGGAUGAAUCUCUAACACAUGCGAUGGAUCUGACAUAUACUUCCUUAGCAUGGAAACAUGAAAUACCGGAUGAAUAGCAAAUAAGUUUGGUGGUAAUGAUAACCUAUAAGCAACUGCCCCAACUCUCUCCAGAAUCUCAUACGGUCCAAUGAAUCGAGGACUCAACUUAUCUUUCUUCCCAAACUUGAAUACUCCUUUUGUCAGUGAUACUUUUAAGAACACACAAUCACCCACUGAAAACUCUAAGUCACGCCUUCUUUUAUCUGCGUAACUCUUUUGUCUGCUCUGAGCUGUUUGAAGCUUAUUUCUAAUUAUCUAUAUCUUCUCCGAGGUAAUCUGAAUCAACUCCGGUCCCAUUAACCUCUUCUCACCAACCUCAAACCAACAAACCGGUGAUCUACACUUCCAACCAUACAAAGCCUCAUAAGGUGUCAUCUCUAUGCUAGCCUGAUAACUGUUAUUGUAAGCAAAUUCCACUAAUGGUAGGAACUUACUUCAACCAACUCCAAAAUCCAUAACACAAGCCCUUAACAUAUCCUCCAAGAUCUGAAUGGUCCUCUCAGACUGACCAUCGGUCUGAGGGUGAAAAGUUGUACUCAACUGCACUUUAGUACCCAUAGCUUCUUGAAAUUUCACCCAAAAUCGCGAUGUAAACUGUGGACCUCUAUCUGACACUAUCGAGAUUGGCACUCUAUGCAACUGUACAAUCUCACUAAUAAACAAUUCCGCCAGUUUUGCAUAUCCAUAAGUAAUCUUAACUGGCAGAAAAUGGGCUUAUUUUGUCAACCUGUCAACAAUCACCCAUAUCGAAUCAUAACCCUCCUUACUCCUAGGCAAUCCUGUCACAAAGUCCAUUGUGAUCCUUUCCCACUUCCAUUCUGGAAUCAACAAUGGUUGCAACAAUCCAGGAGGUUUCUGGUGUUCACCCUUUACCCUCUGACAGGUCAAACACCUAGAAACAAAAUCUGCUACAUCAGCCUUCAUCUUAUUCCACCAAUAACACACAUUGAGGUCUUUAUACAUCUUGGUGGAACCUGGAUGCAUUGUGUAAACUGUCUGAUGUGCCUCUACCAUCAAUUCUCUCCUCAGAUCAUCUACAUCAGGUACACAAAGACCAUUCCUAUAUCUCAGCACAUCAUCAUCAUCUAUCACAAAACUUGCAGCCUUACCCUGCUCAACCUCAUUUCUGAUCCUGAGUAGUGAAACAUCUUUCUUCUGAGCUGCUUUUAUCUUAUCAAACAAAUCCGACUUAACCUGAAAGUGAGCAAUCAUUGCUCCAGCUUCACUAAGAUCAAAUCUGACUCCUUUAUCCACCAACUCAUACAGCUCCCUAAUCAGAGGUCUUUGUACCUCCUGAAUAUGAGCUAAGCUCCCUGAUGAUUUUCUACUCAAAGCAUCGGCAACUACAUUUGCCUUACCUGGGUGGUACUGUAUGAUACAAUCAUAAUCCUUCAGCAGUUCCAUCCAUCUCCUCUGCCUCAGAUUUAGAUCCCUCUAGUGAAAGAUGCACUUCAAACUCUUGUGAUCUGUGAAGAUCUCACAAGUUUCACCAUACAAGUAGUGCCUCCAAUUCUUCAAAGCAAAAAUUACAGCCGCCAUCUCCAAAUCAUGUGUAGGAUAGUUCUGUUCAUGCUUCUUCAGUUGCCGUGAAGCAUAGGCAAUAACCUUGUCAUGCUGCUUUAGAACACAUCCUAACCCCACUCUCGAAGCAUCACAAUACACUGUGUAACCACCAGAACCUGAUGGUACUGCUAGAAUAGACGCUGUAGUCAAUCUCUCUUUCAACUCUAAGAAAUUUUUCUCACAAGCUUCAGACCACUAAAACUUAACAUUUUUCUGCGUCAACUUAGUCAAUGGUGCAGAAAUACAAGAAAAGUUCUCUACAAACCUCCGAUAGUAGCUGGCCAAACCUAAGAAACUUCUAUUCUCUAUCGCCGAAGUUGGCCUAAGCCACUGCUUAACUGCUUCAAUCUUUUGAGGAUCAACCUCAAUCCCAUUCCUUGACACUACAUGCCCAAGAAAUGCUACACUCUCCAACCAAAACUCACUCUUUGAGAACUUGCCAUACAACUGAUGAUCUCGCAAAGUUUGAAGCACAAUUCUCAAGUGCUGCUCAUGCUCCUCUCUAGACCUCGAAUACACCAAAAUAUCAUCAAUAAAAACUAUCACAAAUUGAUCAAUAAACUGUCCAGACACUCUAUUCAUCAAAUCCAUAAAAGUUGUUGGUGCAUUCGUCAACCCAAAAGACAUCACUAAGAACUCAUAAUGACCAUACCGAGUUCUAAAAGCUGUCUUCAAAAUGUCAUCCUCUCUUAUCCUCAACUGAUGAUACCCAGAUCGAAGAUCGAUCUUAGAAAAGAAUUGAGCUCCCUACAAUUGGUCAAACAAAUCAUCAAUGCGAGGGAGUGGAUAUCUAUUUCGAACAGUCACCCGAUUCAGUUGCCUAUAAUCUAUACACAACCUCAAUGACCCAUCUUUCUUCUUCACAACAACACCGGGGCUCGCCAAGGGGACACACUCGGUCGGAUGAACUUUUUAUCUAACAAAUCCUGUAGUUGCUCCUUUAGCUCCCUCAAUUCUGCUGGCGCCAUUCUAUAUAGUGCCAUUGAUAUUGGUUCGGUACCCAGAAUCAAAUCAAUACAAAACUCAAUCUCUCUAUAUGGAGGCAAUCCAGGUAAGUCAUCGGGAAAAACAUCGAUAAACUCCCUAACUAUAGGGACUUGAUCUCAUUGGGAAACUUCUUUCUCUACAUCUACUAUAUAUGCUAGGUAGCAUUGUGCCCCUUUUCGAGCCAUUUUCCUCGAGAUAGCUGACAACAUAAUUGAUGGAGACCCAAUUUUAUCUCCUUGAAAUACCAACCCAACUUCUUCAUCUAGAUCAAACAUUAUUUUCUUACCCCAACAAUUUACUGAAGCCCUAUGCUUUGCUAACCAAUCAAUUCCCAAAAUCACAUCAAAAUCAACCAUAUCUAAGACAUUUAAUUCUCCCAUAAAGAUCUUAUCUCCAAUUUCUAUUCCACAAUCCGAAUACACAUACUUCACUAAUACUAAUUCAUCUAGGGGAGUAAAGAUUGAAAUUGGGGAUCUUAAUAAAGUUGGUUGCUUAUCCAACCUCAUGGCAAAAAUAUAAGGACACAAAUAAAUGAGUUGCACCCAUAUUAAAUAAUAUUUUUGCUUAAAAAAAAAGCAAACAACAAGAAUAUGUUGAGGUGCGGAUGUACUACCUAGCCUCCUAUACCUUGCAUUUCUAAAUUGUACAAUAGGGACAUCAUCUUUAUUGUCAUUUACUCUAAAAGUAUCAAUUUUAUGUCUAUUCCUCGGCAUUUCCUAAAAUAAAAGUGAGAGCACUCAAGUCAUGCUAGAACAAUAGCAUGAUAAUUAUCACAGAAUUAUAGCAAAACAUGUCUAUCACAAGGAAGAAGACAUACUUGAUGAGAAUUCAAAAUUCAAAAACAACAAACAAGACGAUACGGAUCCUAAUGCUCAACUUAUUAUGAAAUUAAUUAUACUAUUGUUUCUUUAACCUAAAGCUCUGAUUACCAAGUUUGUCAUGACCCGAUUCCCGGAUCCAUGACCGGCACAUAGGCAAGGUUUCCCUCCAAGGUUCCAUACCUAUGCGAACCCAAACUUACAUACAAACUUAUCCUAACUCAAUCAGAGUUCAACGCAACAUUAAUAACAAAAUCAACUUCAUAAUAUAAUUGAAUUGUCUUAAUACAAGAGUUAAUAUAAUUUCAUAAUUUUGGAGCUCUAACUAGACAUAAAGGAAAAUGUACAAGUUACAAUAUAAUUUAAUAAUCAUAUCAAGUUUGUUUCUCUUUAAUUUAAAUAUGGAGUAGACUUUUAUUCUGGGAUUUUUGAUGUAACCUUACUAUGAAUAUGUGAACAAUUUCUUUGAUUGAAUUAUUACAUUAAGAUGUUGAGUAUUUCAUUCUAUGUGUAAUGCUUGCGUAUGUUUGGCCAACAUCUGCAUGAUUUAGAAUUCAAUUUGAAACUGAGAAGUGAUGAUUGUUUUAGCUAUUGUUUGAAAUACCUUAAGAAAUCUAUAGGAUAGAGAUAUCCUAGGAACUUUUGUAAUCGUUACAGGUUUUACAGUAUUUAAUUAAUUUCGACAAGUUCAGAACUUUCGUAGAGUAUAUGAAAUUUGUUUGUCGAAAUAAUUUAUUGAUGCUCGAGAGAGAUUAAUAUUUACAUUGGGAAAACCUGAUUAUCAACAUUAGGCGUAAUUAAUUUAAUCGAGAAAGUUCACAUAGGCAUAGUUACGGUAAGUCAUAAAUCCUAGAACCAGUACAAUUGAAUUCAUUAAUAUUUAAUCAUUUGGUUGCUUCUUUUUUUUUUAAUCAUUAAUUUUUGUUUCAUAAACUAUCUUAUUCGAUUCCUCAAAUAGAUCAUAAUUUAAAAGACUUUGGUAAUUAGUAGUCAUUUUUACAAAUCCUCGUGGGACGAUACUCUACUCAUCACUUUAUUACUUGUUACGAUUCAUGCACUUGCGAAAUUAAUCAACAAUAUCAUAAAAUUUAAAGGAAAAGGAAUACUAACAUGCAAAGAAAGUAUUUACAAUAUAAUUAAAUAUUUCAAAAUGGUUAAUUACAGGAUAACUAAAAAUACUACAUGCUAAGCUGAACCUUUAUAAAUACAUCAAGGUUUGCACAAAAGUAUACUACAUAAACACGUUAAUUCCUUUUUGUUUUAAGUUAAAUAUUUAUAUAAGCUUCACAAAGUAGAGUCCUAAACUAAUGAUCUUCCUGAAUGUUUGAUGGACCUGUUACAUAAAUAAACAUACCAUUAUGUUGAUAAAGAAUAUAUGUAUGCUCAUGUAAUGAAUACGAAUGAAGUAUUAAUUUUCUAUCAAUCCAUGAGAAUUCUAACAAAGAACUUAUAUUUUGCUUGUAAAUCUUUAAAACUGAAUUAACACUCAUUUGUAUAUUCUUAAUUGAAUAAUCUUAUUUACUUGCAUAAACUAGGUGACCUUGUAAGGUUUAAUCCUGUAAUUCAUUUCCCGGCAAUCCUAUCACGGAUGCCAUUAGCCGAAGCUAAUCGUGUAAAUCAUAUCCCAAAAUCAUAUCCCGGCAAUCCUAUCACGGAUGCCAUUAGCCGAAGCUAAUCAUAUGAAUCAUAUCUCGGCAAUAGCCGAAGCUUAUCAUAUGAAUCAUUUCCCGGCAAUCCUAUCACGGAUGCCAUUAGCCGAAGCUAAUCAUGUGUAUCAUUUCCCGGCAAUUCUAUCAUAGAUGCCAUUAGCCGAAGCUAAUCUUGUAAAUACACUAGGUUUUAUUUACAUUGAACGAUAUUUAUUAUAAUUGCAUUUACCAGAAGGAUUCUAAAUUGUAUGUGUAAAUAGGAGGGAAAAUCACGCACCUGCUUUGCCUGUCUCGCGACCUCCCCUAACAGAAGAUCCAAUCCUGGUUGCUCCUCCUGAAUCAUAAGGAAGUUUUUUUUUUUUGGUUAUGAUUCUUUCAAGCCGAUAUUAUAGAGAAUUCAUAUUCAUCCAUUACUCAUAUGUUACUUUCUAUGCAUGUUCAUUUCCUCAUAAUAACAUACAUACAUAUAUCAUGUAUAUUUUCAGAGUUAAUAUCUCAAUAUACAAGUGUUCGUAUGACUCAAUUCUUUUAUAUUCUUAUUUAUAGUAUUCACAUGAAAGUCUACUGUUACUGUCAAAUUUCCAACUGUUAUUGUCAAAUUUCCAACUGUUACUGUCUAACUUUGAACUGUUACUAUCCAAUUUCCAACUGUUACUGUCUGACUUUGAACUGUUACUGUCUGACUUUUCCAACUAUUACUGUCUGACUUUUCCAACCGUUACUAUCUGACUUUGAACUGUUACUGUUUGACGUUGAACUGUUACUGUUUGACUUUUCCAACCGUUACUGUCUGACUUUGAACUGUUACUGUUUGACUUUGAACUGUUACUGUUUGACUUUUCCAACCGUUACUGUUUGACUUUUCCAACCGUUACUGUCUGACUUUGAACUGUUACUGUUUGACUUUGAACUGUUACUGUCCAAUUUCCAACUGUUACUGUCUGAACACUCAUCAGAUUUUUAACUAUAUCUAAAGUUCUAAAACUCCAUUUUAACUGAGAUUGAUCUCGUUGGAAAGCUAAGACACGAGGCUACUAGUUCUCUGAGGGAGGAGAACCCAGUUUUGCCUCUAAGAUAGUCAAAAUUGUUCAUUUACUAAUUAGUCCUAUUGUCCUACAUAAUCAGUCACGACUCAGUCUCAGUUGGUAACCCAUAACUGGAGUUCUACAUUUUCAAAUUGAGCAAGACCAGUUUCCUAGGUUACCUAACAUUCAAAUCUACAAUUUCUAUGGGGAACCCGAUCCUAAUCCCCUCAUCCUCCUACCCGAAAUCUCAUCGAAAGUUAGGAGACAAGUCUGUCCAGAUUCGUCUCCCCCUCCCCUUCACACAAUACUUUCAUAAACUUAAUCUCAACAAUAAGUGCUUUUUUCCCAAUUUAUAUCUAAGAAUCCUAACCUAUGAUUCAAUAUCAAGGCAUCAAUUCUUUAUCAAAUUUAAAAAAGAAUUUUUUUAAGAUCAUGUUUAGAAUACCUUACCCGGUACAAAUUAAGAUUUUGAUCUUCAACCAGUUGAAGAUUUUCAACUCCGUCCUUUCUUUUCUUCUUGUUCAAUUUCCCUCCUGUCUUUUCUUCUUGUUCAAUUUCUUGGUAAUCCUUUGCUCUCAAGUGUUUAUCCCAUCUUUAAGCUCUUAGUCUUGGAUGGGUUCUUGAAAUUUUAGUGUUUCUCUCUUGAUUUCUCGAGAAUGGGUAUAAAACUCCCUAUUUUCUCUCCUUAUGGUUCCUACAGAUUUUUUUUUGUUGAGGAGAGAGUAUUUAUACUCUAUAUUUUCCCUUAUUUUUAUUUAGACCCCCUUUUUCCUUUAAGUGUAUUAUUCUCUUCAAUUAAAUCCAACCCUCAAUAGUACCGGGUUUAUUAUAAUGUCUCGAAUUAUUUCGCCCGGAAAUUUAUAUUCAAAAAUUUCUGAAUUUCUAUUUUUAUUUAAUCAUAUGCAUGAAUUUCUUCACUUUUAUUUAUUUAUUAUUUUUCCCGGGGUUUACACUAAUUGGGCGGUACUCUUUGAAUUCCAAGGUAAGCUUUUUUUUUCGGCACCAAUGUGAUAUAGGAGAGGUUAACCCCUUUCAGCAUAGACCCUGUUCUAAAAAAUACAGUAAUCAGGUCCAAUAAGUCUUCUGCAAUAAAAUCCCAAGCAAGCUUAUAGAAUUUAAAAUUGAAACCAUCUGGACCAGGACUCUUAGAACCAUCACAAUCCCACACACAUCUUUUAAUUUCAUCCAAGGUCACAUCUCGCUCUAGCCUAAGAGACAACUUUGAAUUUAACCUUUUAAAACCUACAGGACCCAUCUUUGCUUUCUUCCCAAUUAGAGCUUUAUACAGAUUAUAAAAAUAAUCAACGACAACAGAUUUGAUUUCUGGUAAAGACCGAAGUUCAGCCCCUUUAUGAUUGAUCAUCAUAAUUUGAGAUUUGGCUCUUCUGAAGUUAGCUAUCAAAUGGAAAAACUUGGUAUUACGGUUCCUUAGCUUGCACCACAACUGUCUAGAUCUCUGCCUCCACUUGCAUUCAACUCUAUUACUGUAGGUCCAUUUAUCCCUUAUAAGAGAUUCAAGCUUGAGGUGAUCUGAGGGACAUAGAGGAUCAGCCUCCUGUUUUCUCUCUAGAUCAUCAAUUUGGGAAAUCACAACCUAAAGCUUGUGCUCUUGAUCACCAAAAUCAUCUUCGUUCCAUCACCGAAGUUGAGCUGCUACAAAGCUAAGCUUUUUAAUAAAUCUGAAGCGUCCUAGGAAUGCAGUACACCCGUCAAACCAAAAGCCUCUAAUAAUGUUUUUGAAGUUAGGAAAUUGAAGCCAACAAUCCAAAAAUUUAAAAGGACUAUAACCACUCUCUAGGAGGCAAUCAAACACAAGCAAGGGGCAAUGGUAUGACAUUUCUCUAGGUAAUCGAUGGAGCAUUACAUUAAAGAACUGAAGAAGAAAGGAUUCAUCUGAGAAAGCACGAUCUAGUUUGCUCAUCAAGCGAUUCCUGAACCAGGUGAAGUAGCCUCCAGCCAGUUGAUACUCAAUAAGGUAACAAGAAUCCAGAAAAUUCCUAAAAGCUGAAGAGCCCCUGAUAUGAAGAUAGCCACUGCUUCUAUCAAUCUGAUUUAAAGUCUCAUUAAAAUCUCCCACCAUCAACCACGGAAUAGGGAAGGCAUGUCUGAGGAUACACAAGUUCAUCCAAAGAUCCCGUUUUUCUAACAUAGAAUAAGAGGCAUAAACACCAACAAUAGCACAGAUAAAACCACUUUGCAUAUGCUGACCGUACAGACCAAUCCACCAUAACCAUAUUCAACAGAUGAAACCUGAAAUUUUGUAUCAAGAGCAAUCAUACCCCUUCUACUUCCUUUAGCCUCAUUACAAGCCCAAUUAACAUUGCUAUUGUUCCAAACAUGAAAAAUGAAAGAGUCUGUGCAAGUCUUAAUUUUUGUUUCUAGAAGAAAGCACACAUCAAUAUUAUGAAUAUCAAUAAGCCUACCCACAGCCCGUAAUUUUCCAGCCCUACCCAGUCCACAUAAGUUCCAAGAGAGAACCUUCAUAAAAAAAAACCAGAAAAAAUCCUAACCAAAGCAGAGGAAACAAAGGACUUACUGGACAGCCCUCCAGUCAGCCUCCUCUUGUUGAAGCUGUUUCCGAAUAUCUCCUUCAAAAGCAUAAAGGUUGGAAUUGUCCCCAAUAAGCAAAGCUUCCCCAAUCUGGACCAUACCCUGAACUUCUCGAUCUUCUGAACUCAUAGUAGCUUCUUCAUCUCCUGAUUGUACAGAUCCUGUUAUACAAAGAUGUUUAUGAGAAUCCCCAAAAUUUUGAAAAUGGCGUCUAUUCCUCAUGUGAACAUCUGAGUCAUCUGUAGAUUCUUCUAUGUCAUCCGCGUGUCUCUGUAAAGUCCCAUGAAUUGUUAAAAGUUUUGUCUUUCUUCGUCUAGAGCAAAAUUUCACUUGACUGUUGUCCUGUUGAGUAAGAUCUCUAGAGUUGGUAUACACAGUAGAACCCAACUUUAAGGGUUGGCUUGCUUCAUCCAUGUGGGGCCGCCUAUCUUGAAUUGGCUCAUGGGCCUACUCAUAAUUGGAGCAAGAAAAAGAGGAGGUACUGUCAAGGAAGUCAGAGCAGUAAGUACCCAAACUAAGCUGGGCUUCUAAUGUAAGGGGGUGGCCCGAAGUAUCAUGACCAAGGUCCACUAAAUGAUGAGCUUGAACAUUAGAGUCUUGCACCUUGCUAACAUCUGCAGCAUUGUUGCUAGUGGUGCUGACGUGAUGAUUUAAGUUUUGAGUAUAUCCCAAAAUUUCAGGGAAAAGAUCUGUAGACAUUGUUGGGAAGUGGACUUGCCCCCCUAGUUGUUGCAGUGCAUUUAUGAUGACAAGAGAGCUGUGGUCUUGGAGCCUAGUUGGAGCUAAAUAGAUAGCCUUUCUAUAAGCUGGAUCACCAGCUAGAUAUGGUUUAGCAGUUGCCGCCUCUUCACAAUUUGAAAAAGAUUUCAUUUUCUCCCUCGUUUCAAGCCCCACAUCAUGAUUAGUUUCAACUGAAAUAUUUGCUAUAGUUCCAUCCGAACUAGAUUCAUAGCCACAGGUUGUGUACCCAUCUUCCAAAACUAAGUUACUAUGGAAGGUGUCAAUGGAGUAGCAAAUUGAGUCAGCCAUGGGAUAGUGAAGACUGUCAAUUUCGUCAAUACAAAUGGUAUGAUCUUCCCCAUCAAUGUGCAAGAUGAUUGUCUUCCUUAUAUCUUCAUCACUUCUUGUACCAAGCAAUAAGUGUAAAGAUACAAGGGCUGAACGUCUAAGGCCUAAACGGCCAAAGCCAAUAAUAUCUCUUGUAGAUCUGAGAAGAGUUGCUAGACAAUUUCUGUACGUUCCAUCCUACUAUUGGCAAUCCUUGUAUGGAGAUCCAUGCUAACCUAUCAAUGGCACAAUCUGUAGAGAGCCAUGGCCAAGGGCGGAGGCAUGCAUGGGCUAGGGUGGGCUCUAGCCUAGAUCAAGAUUUUAUCAAUAUUUUUUUAUUAAUUUUAUGUAAAGAAAAUUUGUAAUUUUUAAUUGAGGUAUCACAAAAUUCUGAAAAUUUACAUGGAGCCUUCUAAUAUUAUGCUUUAGCUAGGGUUAAAAUUUCAGAAUUUUUGGAGAAAUUCAGAAAUUUGAUAAAAAAAUCACAAUUUGACCAGUUUUACGUUAUUGGGUGUAAUUUUCAAUCCGACCAUCAGAUUGAGCUGAAACUUUAUGAGAAAUCUUAAAAUAUAUUGAAUAAAAUCUGGUUAAAAUUUUAGGAUGAACAGAGUGUGGUAGUGCUAACAAAAAAAAAACAUCAAACAAAAGCAAAACGACUCAUUAAAGGUAAAAUGAUUAUUUGCCAUUAAAAAAUAAAACAAAUCAGUUCUUUCUUCCUUUUAUAUGUUGCCGACUGAGCAGAAGUAGAAUAGAAAAGGAAAGAAAAGAAAAGGCAAGAGAGAGAGAAAAAAAAAAGUAAGGGGAAAACAUAAAACAAAUUCAAGGAAAAAAAAAAGAAAAAUGAGAGAAUAACCUUGUAAACUUACAAAGUCCAACUUAUAAAAUAGUAAUCUAAGGAAGAAUCAAGUGAAGGAAGGAGGAAUUGAGAGAGGGAGAAAAUUUAAUUACUUUAUUUUUCAGUUGACAUGAGAUUGUUAUUUUAUCCUGGUUGAGUGUUUGUUAUAAUAUCGAUUCAGAUUCGAUUAUAGAUGAAUUAUAUUCCACAAAACAUCAAAGGAUGUAACUUUAAUAGUGAGUUUAUUUUUACUUUCACUUUAAUUUUAUAUACUUUUAAAUUUAUUUUUUAAUAUUUUGGGUAGUGUAUUUGAAUUAAAACUUUACUGUUAACUUUAAAAAUUCAUGUAUAUGAAUUAAUAAUUUAUCUUUAAAAAUAUUUAUAUAUUUAUUUAAUAGCCCAGGACAGUAAAAAUUCCUGGCUCCGCCUUGGCCAUAGCCUUAUAUCAUCAAAAUAUUUGUCCCAAAAAGGCAAGUCAGCCUCAAAAGCAUGCAUCAUGGAGGGAUGAUCUUCAAAUAGGAGCAGAACCUGUGAAGCACCAAGAAACCUCAUUCCGGUUGAUUGAAUAUCACAACUAAUAAGGUCAUUUUGAAUCUUUCCAUAGUUUGCACCUGCAGAUAUGGAUGCAAGCAAACAAUUGUUUAACCAUGAUAUGUCUUCUAGUUUUGAAGAGUAAAUGACAGUUUCUUUCAUCGAAUCAAGUUUAGGUGGCUUUUGAGGAAGACAAGUUUCUUGCGCAGACAUUAGAUGGUGCGGGGUGUCCAUAGUUUGCAGAACUGUUGCAUAGGUUCGGUGAUCUCUUGUUCUAAAAGGUGGGCUUUUCAGUCUAGCUACAGGUUUAAGGGGAUUUUGUGGGAUUUUGCCUUGGGUGUGUCUUGUUUCAAAUCUUGCUAAGUUGACCCACAACUUCUAAGAGUCAAACCAAAUAUUAUUUAAGCUGCGAAGUAAAUCAUCAGUUGAGUCUUUAGAGGAAAGGGUACAAAACCCAAAUCGUCUUCCAGCUUUGUUUGGUUUUCUUGCCAUAAAAAUGCUAAAUUGGGAGUUUGAUGUGUUGAAUGCCAUAUCAUGAAAUUUAGGAAAAACAUUCAAAACCUUUAUAGUGAACACGGUUUUUCUGUGCUGACUUUGGGGCAAGGAAGGUAAUUUAUGUUAUGGAUGUCCUCAGUUUGUCUUUAACGAGGCCAAGCAUCCUAUAUAGAAAUCCUGAAGUUCCUUUAAAACAAAAUUCUAUGUCAGGAAUUUUAGGCCUUGUCAGUUCUAGGUAAUGCAAAAUUGUGUUUAAAUGAGCAUAUGUAUUUGAGCAACAAGGAGUUGGUGUUUGUUCAUUAUUAAAAUCCCCUUUAAGUGAGACAAGCUGUUUGUGCAACAAGGAGUUGAUGAGAUUAGGUGGAUGAUUAGUUCUAGGAUGACUUGGUUCCUUAGAGCACCAUUUGCAAGGUCACCUUUUCCCUUGAACAUGAUGAAAAACCGUGAGAUUUUAUUAGGAAAUAAAAAGUUAGGAUAAGGGAGAUGACUACUUAGAGGUUGGUAAUUAGGAAGUGUUCAUUGAAGUAAUUGCUUCGAUGAAAUUGACCUCCAAUAGAGAAUAUUUACUCAAAGGAAUGUUAUGGAAAAUAACCAUGCGAUUACUUUUUCCCAUUGUCAACCAAGAAAUCUCUACCUUUAAAACAAAUAUGAGGUAAACAAUCAAUUAAUUUUGGAUUACAUUAGUUUUUGGGGCGUUUCAGUUAGAAAUAUUCAUUUAUUUUGUUUCGGUUUCAGUUUGACAUUUCUAAAAAUCAAUAAACUGAACCAACCCAUAGUUUAUGUGCAUUCAAUUUUAGAUUGCGUUAGUUUGAGUUAGCAACCUGAACCUGAUUUGGAUUGAUUCAGCAUAAAUGAACAUUGUUUCGGUGAAAGGCUUAUCAAUAGUUACCUUUUGGAAAUGAUUAUUAAUUGUUUCAGCUAAAAAAUAUCCGAACCAGACCAGACCAAAACUGAUCAACAUGUUGGAUUGGGUUGGUUUGAAAAUUUUUAAUUUUUUCAAUUUUUUGUCUGGUUUUUAUUUUUCUGAAACCCAUACUCUUAGUGAUUAAAAUAUCACAAAAUCAAUAUAGAAUGUCACAUAAUCUUGUUGAUUCUAUGUCUAUAACAAUAUUUCAAAAAAUAAAAAUAAAAAUAAAAUAUUUGAUAAAGCAAUUUAGCUCAAUCCUUGUAUAAAUUAAGAGGUUAUAAUAUUUGUUGAUAGCAUUUGGAAACAUACUAGUGUACCAUCUUUAAUAAUGCUUGUUACUAUGUAAAUAUACAAGCACGAUUCCCUAAUCAUAGCUCCAUAAAUCAAAUAUGAGCCAUUAGUAUUGAAAUAACAACUGCUCUUCAAUUCAUCAUCCCACUUGAACCUACAUUGGGUAGCACUCUUUCGACUUUAAUUAGAAAAUACACUCAUUAGUAUAAUGUUGCAGUUGCAGUCGACGUUUGUGUCCUGUUUCCAUGGGUUAAAAAUAUCAAAUGUUGUGUGCAUACACUGAUCUAAUAAUUUGAAUAUAAGAGUUAAAAGCUUCAAUGCAUGUAAAGUGCUGUAAUACCGAGAGGCGAAUUGGAAGCCCUUACAUGACAGUUAUAUGCAGACAACAUAAUAAUAAUAAUAAUAAUCCACUUUUUAAAAUGAGGCGUGCAAAUGAUUUUAAAUAAACAUUUAAUUGAUUUAAAAUUAGAAAAUCAACCCAAAUCUAAAUUGACUAAUUUUAUCUCUCCUUUGUAGUUUUUCAACAAAUCUUUCUUUCUUUUCUCAAACUCAAGAACUAUAUAUAUAGAGGUAAAAUAAAGUUUUGUACUGAAAAGUUUCAUUUCUAAACUAAAAGGACCAAAAAUAUUUUUGUCAAGAUCACAAGGCAUGGAAGUGCUGACUUAAUUUGUACCAAGGCUGAGCAUUAAGUUAGUGUCAACUUGUAUUAAGGUCCAUUAAGCCCACGUGACCGGCUACCUUAGUUUUCUCAUUUAUGAAGUUGUGUACAAGUUCACAUACAUUAUUCCAAUCACAUGCCAUUAUAUUUUUAGUAAACGACUAGAAAUAUUAACAAUAAUGUUUUAACAAAUAUUAACAAUUUAUUUUCAUAAUAUUUUUUUCUUGAAAAUAUAUCAAAAUAAUAUAUUUUUUAUUUUUUAAAAUUUAUUUUUAAUAUCAGUCUAUUAAAAUGAUUUUACAAAAAAUUAAUUUUAAAAAAAAUCGAUUUUUUUUUUAGUUAUGUAACAAACAUACUAGCUUAUUUUUAUUUUUUAAAUGAUUUUAUUUUAUCGAAGAAACUUAACUGCCUCAUUGUUGUAUGCGUUAUUAACACCAAAAUUUAAACAUAGAAACCAUAUUUUUUGUUACAAUUAAUAUAUAACUGUAUAAGAACAAAAAUUUUGUGUUGAAAUACUUAAUUCAAUUAAAAUAUCUUUAAAAUUUUAUUAACAUAACUAAAAUAAAUUUUAGUUACUAUUUUUAUUUUUAUUUUUUACAUGAAACUAAUUAUCAGGAGUUGUAGUAACCUUUUUUCACAAAAAUAAAUUAUUACUACUUUUAUUCAACUUAUCUCUAAUCAAGAAAAAAAACUAAAACAAUAAUAUGUAAUCUCUAAAAAUAUUUAAUCAUAUUUUUUUUCUAUGUUUUCCUAUUUAUAAUCAUAUAAAUUGUUUUUACGAGAGUGAAGGGUUUAAAAAAUAUAAUAUUGUUCUCUGAUCAGAUGGCCGCCGGUGGGCAGCAAAACAGCUUUUUACAAAUAUUAUAAUUUGUACAUAAUAUGUUUCAUAUUAACAAUUGUUUGCAUUCCUUCAAAGAUGAGAGCAGCUUCUCUCCUGCUACAAGUACAGGGAGGAACAAAUAAUAAAAACACAAAUAAGCUCACCGUGUAUAUAUGAUUUGAGUCCAAGGAUCAAUGCACCACUUGUUUAUUUAAUGAGUUGAGACUGAUAUAAUAUUUGAAACAAGACAACAAAUAAUCUAAUCUAAACCCUCACCUGCAAACUUUAGUAGCAUGUUUACUCUCUAGUCUCUAACUAGUUUCGUUGCCUACGAAUCGCUGCAGUUACGAGUUUGAGAUUCGAAAAAUAGACUUGUGAGCACUUCUUAAAAAAUAGUAAAUGUAAACCCAUAAUAAAUAAAGUUGAUCUAAUUGAAAACCGAUACGGCUAAGUCAAACCAUAUAGGAUGAUGGUCAAACUCCAUCUAUAGUGAAACAAAAAAAAAAGGUCAUGGAGAUGGAGAUGGAGAUGUAUUUAUGGACCAAUGAAACAAGUUUAAAAUUAAGAAGAAGUUUGUUCGCGUCAGACCAGAAUAAAAGCUCAAAAAGUUAUAAUUUUUUAUUUGAUUAUUUGAUCAUGCUCAAAUUUUCACGUGAACCAUCGAAUCUUUAAAUAUAAAAAAUCUUGUUUAGGCCUCUAGUUUUGGCAGUUUUGUGAUUUUCCUUGUUAUUUUUUUAUUUCUUGCUUGUUUUGGAUUUUAUAUUUCUUUCCUUUGUAAUUUUGGUUUCUGUUUUUGUUUCCUAGUUGAGGUAAGCUUCCUAACAUAUUUAAGGCUUUGUAAACCUCCUGAGAAGAAAAAUUUUAUUAUUAUUAUUUUAGAGAAAAUAAACUUGGGAAUUUGAGGGUUCACAUCUACAGUCUCUUUUGCUCAUAUAUUUUUUGGUGUUCUUUAAUUAUUGUGUUUAUAGCUUUCGUCUGCAUCAAGUUUAAAUCUCUUUGAAAACAAAAAAACCGACCAAUUUUGAUGUAGUCAAUUCUAUAAUAAUUAGUGAUUAUAAGCAGUCAGGUGUGAGUCUACCAUAACUAGAUGAAGAUUUGCCCAAGAUAAAUUAUGUUGAUAGUCUAGCAAAUGCAUUUAUGGACCAAUGAAACAGGUCUAAGUCUAAGAGAAGGUUUUGUCACGUUAGACAGGGAUAAAAAUCCAUAAUUCUCAAAACAGGUAACCCUGCGCAGAUCUUCAUCUGUCUUUUCCCCCUUCCCCUCUUUCCUUUAUCGAAUCCAAUUCAUAACUAAUUUGGGUUGCUUUUGUGGCAGUUUCAAUGAUUCACACAGCUAUUGAUAACUUUUACGUAACUGGUAAUGAGCUACAAAGUUGGGUCUGCUUUAAGGUUCCUUUCUUUCUUUCAUCCAGAUUAGCAAGGUCGAAGUCCUUUCUUUCAUCCAGAUUAGCUGGCUCAAUGCAAUUAGGGAAUGGCAAGAGGAGUUCGUUGGCAAUAUGAACUGUAGGGAAUUUGUGAAUUUACAUAUUAGUUGUGUGGUUCUAGUAAUUGUUCGGAUGAUACGGUACAGAUAAAAACUCACAAACUCACAGAAAUUGGUAAUAAGAGAAAAGAAACCUUCAAGAAAGUAUCAAACGAGGAGCAACUGUGAUUUGUAUGAAGCUACAAGUUUUGCAUAAAUAUUAUCAGUGAUUAGUUGUUAGUGUUAGAUAGCUAGUCAAUAAUGUUUUAUAAAUUGAUUUAAUGGUUAAAUAAGAACUCUGUAGAUGCUAGAACUAGUUGUAAUAGAUCACUAACAUGUUAUGAUAAUUGGCAAUGACUCUUGCCAAUGAGAAACAAUAGCUAGUCAAGAACAUUCAAUUAAUGGUCUGAUUACAAGUAUAAUAUGGUCACAUUAAUUUGAUCGAAAAGUAAGAUCAUGUUAAUGAAAGUCUGAGGAGUGUAGCUCAACUGAUCAGAUCCUGAAUUUGCUUUCUAAAACUUAUAAGUUCAAAUUUCACAAACUUCAGGGCAACUAGAUACUUAUAUUAUCGUUAACUUUAGGAUUCAUUAGAUUAAUCGAGAUACACAAGCUAACCCGGAUAUUCAUAUUAAUCUAAAAAAAUCAUGUUCAUGGAAUUAAAUGCCAAAUGAAAACAUGCACUAUGACUUAUUUUAUCGCAUGUUUAAUAAAUUAUGAAUUAUAAAAAAAUUUGUUUUCAGAGUUGUUUUAAACGGUGGUUUUAUUAUUGUCAUAUAUACGGUGUAUCGCAUGUUUUAAACAUGCACUAUUGUCUUUUUCUUCGUCUCCCACUUGUCCCCGUUUUGUCUUUUAAAAAUUCUAAUGCUCCACUACUUUCGGUGGAGUUCAGAGAUUUGUUUUUACGUUGCUACAGUUGCCGUUGGGAACCAAGGAUUCCUUACCAAGGAGAUAACAUUUUUAAAAGAAAAAGGCAAAAAAAAAAACAAUUAAUAAAAAACUACAACCAUAUCAAAAGAUGAGAUUACUUUGUUUAUUUAAUUUCUCUCUACUUGUCCAAAAAAUAAAAAGUUCUGGUUUAUAGCCAAAUAAAAUUUAAUAAAAAAACUCAACAUUAAAAUAUAAAAUUAAAAAAUUAUAUAUAAAAAAAGUAAAAAAAAAAUAAAAUGACCAAUAAAAAAAUUAAUUUAUAAUUAUAAAUUAAAUGACAUAACAUUUUUAAAAGAAAAAGGCAAAAAAAAACUACGUACAACCAUGUCAUGGUGCAUCUUGGACCACCGUAUCAAAAGAUGAGAUUACUUUGUUUUUUUAUAUAUGAUAAAAAAUAUAAAAAUUAAUUUAUAAUUAAUUUAAUAUUGACAAAUAAAAUUCAAUAAAAAAGCUCAACAUUAAAAAAUAAAAUUAAUACACACCCUUCUGCUUGUCUUCAUCCUGAAAACUGUCACUUUGAUUAUAAGAACUUGCAUCAAGUAAAUUAGUUAAGAAAAACUUAUUGCAUUGAAUUAAAAUCGGUGUUGAUGUUAUUGAUUGGUUGAAACUUGGGUUUUUGGUAGUAGAUUUGCCCGGAGUGGAGCCAAUUCUCUCGGGAACAAGAACCACAGGAGCUCUAGGUAAGGGUUAUAUCCUUACUUUUGAAUUUCUUCUUAAAUGCAAGAUGAUUAAGUGUUGUUAAAUUAUAUAUAAAUAACUAGUAUCAAAGAAUACUGAGUCCAAGAAAUAAAUUGAUUUUGGAAUUCCCUUAGAUAAAAUGACUUAAUUAGGGCGGGUUAAAGGAAUUUCCAAGAAAUAAAUUGCAUGGGUCGCUGGAAUUCCCUAAGAUAAAUUGUCUUUGAGGUGGAUUAAAGGAAUUUUCUUUUUCUUUUCUUCUUCUUUCGUUUCUUGGAGGAGAAAGUGGGUAGUGCUGCUCGUUCCGUUUCUUUUUCUUGGAAACCACACAGAGAAUUCUUGGAUCUGUUAUUGUUUUUCUAGCUAAUAGUCUUUUUCUCUCAUUCACUCAGUUUCUUUGGGUGCGGACUAGUUGUUUUUGGUCAAGUAAUAAUCUCUUCUUUUGUUCUACUGAAAUUCUUGACGUUUUGGUCGGGAAUAAGUUUAGCUCCUUUUGCUUGUCUAGAAAAUUGAGGGAAAGUAACAGAGAUAAUUUAGAACCCUUUAAGAUUUUUGCCACUAUGGUUUAGUCCUUCACUUUCCUGGAGUUAUGAGAUUCGGUUAAAUGGAAGAAGGGGCUGUUUCUGGUUUUGAGAUUGAGAGAUGGGGUCUUGAAAAGUGGCAUGGCUGGUGGUUGUUUAGGCUAUCAUUGUGUGGGUGGUCGCCAAAAUUCACCAGGGAGAGGAAAUGGGAAGACACAGUAUAUCUUCUUUUUUUUAUUUAGUCUUGACCGAUUAAAUAAGCUGAUUUUAUAUGAAUUAUAUAAAGAAAAAAAAACAAGAAUAACAAACAAGAAUAUAUAUAAUGAAAAAAAUACAUCAUUAUAUUGAAUUGAAGGAUGAAAUUAUAAAUAAUUUUUUGUUUUAUAAAAGGGUUGGGAAAAAAAAUAAGAAAUCAUAAGAAUAAGAAUCAAACUGAAAUCAUAAGAAUAAGAAUUUCUCAACAUGUUUUUUUACAUUAAAAAAAUUCUAAAUUUAAAUCGAAAAACUUAUACACGCAUCGAACUAAAUAAAUCACAAACAAUUGUGUAAAUAAAUGAAAAAAAUGAAGUCAUUACUGAUAAUUAAAAAUGCAAGUGGAAAAAUUAAGAAACAAAUAUAGAUAAAGUAUUUAAUAUUACAACAUGGGUCAUUUAUCUGGUUAUAUUUAAUGAAUUUGUUUGCUAAAAUCAAUCUAUAAUAGAAAUCAACACACAUAAUUUUUUUUAAUAUAAUAAAAGGAAAAAAAAACUAUGCAAGGCUACACAUAUUCAAAUUAUUAUAAAAAUUAAAUACUUAAUCUAUCUAGAAUAUAUAAAAAAUAUUUAUAGAUAAAUAUUACUAACCUCUUAAAAAAUUAAACACAAGCAACAAAAUUAAAAAUAAUUGAAGAAAGACUACAUUAGGCCAAAAAAAAUCAUAGAAAGGGGGUAUUAAUAAAAACAUCAUUUUUAAAAUUAUUUUCAAAAAUAUAUAUAAAAAAGUAUUAAUAAUAAAAAAAAUUCAAAAUGCAAUGCUGGAAAAUUAUAAGGACUUAUUAUUUAAUAGCUUAAAAAAACAGGGAACUAAAAUGAACUUUGCAAACAAAUUAUAGAGCUGCUAUCUAUUUUAGCUGAGUUUUUAACUUUAGUUCAUUGUCUUUUAAUUCAACUCUCAUCGUUAAAAAAAUAUGCAAUUCGACUCUGAUUUUAAUUAAAAAGAAUCGAUUGUGAAAAAAAAUUCAAGUAUAAAAUUAAAAAUUUUCAAAAAAUUACAAUAUUGUUGUCCACAAUUAAAUGAGUCUAAGUGAGUGGUAAUGAACAUAAAACCCCAUUUUCUUUUAAUAUAUACUAUAAUUUGGUGCUGUGAUACAUACUUUUAAAAAUAUUUUUUAUUUAAAAAUAUAUUAAAAUAAUUUUUUAUAAACAUAUAUUUUUUAAAUCAUAUAAAAUACUAAAAAUAUAUUAAUUAAAUAUUUCUAUAAAUUAAAUAUAAUUAUAAAAACCACUAUGAUUGGGACAACCACUCUAUCAUCCUCUUUUUCAUACUAAUUUUCAUCUCCUAGUCUCUACAAUACUGGCCUUACUUUCUUCCUUUGUCCAAAUAAAUUCCAAAUAAAAGAGAAAAAAAAAACAGAGUAUUUUUAUAAGAAAUAGGACAUCACAUAUUCAUAUAUUUUUUUCUUACUCUCCUCCGAUCUUUCUAUGUCUUCUUCCGUUUCUGCCUCCCUCAACCUCUCCUUCUCUAUUUCCACGUCCUUUCCUUUAUUUCUGUCUUACCUUUUCUUUUCUUUUUAAGCCUUUUUAACCUCUCUCUCUCUCCCACUUUUCUAUCCUUUCCUAGUGGGUAGAAAAAGUUGAACACGUGGCGACCAUCUAUUAGCUUUUGAGAUUACGUUUAUCUCCAUGUCACAAUAAAAUCUAAGGGUGAACAUGUGGAGAUAAGGUUGAACAUGUGGCGAUAAUCUAUUGGUUCCUUGGAUUACCUGGUCCUUUCUCAUAAACAUAGUUCUUUUAGCUUUUCUUCAAUACUGGCCCCCUCCUACGCGACCUUACUUUCUUCCUUCUUUUGUCCCAUCCUUUUCUUUCUCCUUUUAUCAUGCCGUGAUUUUAGGGUUUUUUUUUAUUCUUUCUUCUUUAUCCCAUUCCUUUCUUUCUUCUUUUAUGAUGCUGUGAUUUUAAGAUUUUAAUUUUAAAUGUUUGAAUAAGUACAUGUUUUUUAAAAUAUUUUUUUAUUUUUUAAAUAUCAAUAUAAAAAUAAAAAAAUAAAAAAUUAGAAUAUAAAAAUUUAUUUUAUAUCCUAUCAUUACCUGGAAAUCGCAUAAUGUAAUGAUCAAUAUUAUACGAUGAUAGACAAAUUUGGGGUUGGCUGAAGGCAGGGAUUCUAUUGGUCAACGGAUGUAGUAAAAUUAAAUGUUUCACUAUAAAUGACAAUAUUGAUACUUUAAAUGAAUAAAUGAUUUUAAUAUCGUUAAAAGAUGUUUUUACCUUGUUAUUUGUUCAAAUAUGGUAUACCCAAGUUCCGGCGAACACCGGGAAGUCUCCAUUUUUAACACAGAAAAUACUAGAGUUAGGGAUUGUUCGCAUGAAAUCUAGCUAAGUUCUUGCAUAAAUUAAGAGGUUAUAAAAUUAUUCGAGAAUUUCUAAAAUUUCGUUAAAUAGAUUUAGAGUUUAGGAAUUUAUUGUCUUAAGAUUUGAUCAUUUUUUGUUUUGAAUAAUUUUUAAAAGGUUGGGUUGUUGCAAACUAGAAGUCGUUCAAUUGUCCGUUCUUCAACGGUAAUUCACAUGAACUACUAGUAAAAAAAUCUCACAAGUCCCUAUUUAGGAGAAAGAGAUUGUUAUGCCUGGAGUGUUAUCUCUUUAUUCUGUUACAUACGUAGUUUUUCUGUUUAACAGAUAACUCCUAAAAAAUAAGAGGCAUAGCUUAUUAUUUAUAAGAAAAUCUGAAAAACUCUAUAAAUUGACAAAAUAUCAAUUUCCUUCUUGAAUAAUAUCUAUAUAUUAAUUUAAGAUAAUUUUAUAAAUUAACUCAAUCAAGUUCUUACUUGAUUUUUCUAGAUCUGAAAAUAUAAUCUUUGUAUUAAUUAUAUUAUAGUCUUUAAUUUUUAAAAUAUAUUUUAAAUAAAUUAUACUUAAUUAAAUCAUCUCAAUAACAGUUAGAUUUCUAAUAUAUUGAUACAAAUAUAAAUUUUUGAGUUAGGGAUAACUUUCCAUAAUUCUCUCAAAAACAGGUAGCCAUGCGCAGAUCUUCAUCUCUCUUUAAUUUCCCGUUACCCAUUUCCCCUCUUCCCUUCUUCCUUCCAUCGAAUCCAAUUCAUAAAUAAUUUGGGUUGCUUUUGUGGCAAUUUCAAUGAUUUACACAGCUAUCGAUAACUUUUUUGGCUGUUAAUAUCGUAGUAUUCUCUAAAAAGCCAAUGUCAUGGCAUUUCCAUGCUUUCUAAAGAAAUAAUUUAUUUAUUUAUUAAGCAAUUCAUUUAGUUUUUUCAAUAUUUAAUUUAAUUUAUAUUCUUAAUAAUAAUUUUAAUUCAAACAACAAGACAACAGAACACCAAAUAAUUUAUUGAUUUUACUCAUAACACAGCACAAUUAUUUAUUAUUAAAUAAUUUGAUAUGGUUAAUCUCACAACAAAACACAAAGCAAACUCUUAUUCUUAAACUUGCAUUAAAUAUUGCUACUUGGAAUUUAUUAAUUUGUAUUAUACACGUACAUAAUUAUCUUUGAAGGCUUGUAUGACCUUUAUCUUAGAUAUCAUCUUAUUCUUUAUUCUUUAUUUUUAAUAAAAUAUUUCUGUCAAUCAGUUUAUUAAAAUAAUAUUUAAGUGAUUGUUCAAUUAUUUAAUUGUUUUCAAGAAGAUUAGGAAUUUUUAUUAUGAUAUUUUCAUUACUUUAUAAAUAAUUAUGUGUUAGGGACAUUUGAGCAAAAUAAUGUUACUCAUAAAAAAUAUUUUUUUUUAAAAUAAAAAAAAUGCAUGAAUUAAAAAUUUAUGUUUUUAAUUAAAAAAAUAUUUUUUUAGUUCAAAUCAUUACAGUUUCUUAGGAUACUUUUCCUGGUUGUUAUUACUUUUUAUAUCGUCAAAAACUCUUUUUUUUUUAAAGAAAAAUACAUGAAUUAGACUAGAAAAUUUUGAUAAUAUAUAUAUUGUCUAUAAUUUUAUUUUAUUUUGAGUGGUUUCUAUGAAUAUAUUGCAUAAUUAAAUAAAAAUUAUAUUAAAAAAGUUAGAUUAUAAAAAGUAUCUCGGGACAACGUUGGGCAUAGCUACACUAAUUUCUAAGGCUUUAUUUGAUUUUACGUUUCAAAAGCAUUUUUGAAAAUUUUUUAUUUUUUUCUUUACUUUAAAUUAGUAUUUUUUUGGUAUUUUCAAAUAAUUUUGAUACGCUAAUGUCAAAAAUAAUUUUUAAAAAAUAAAAAAAAUAUUAUUUUGAUGUAUUUCUGAAUAAAAAACACUUUGAAAAAUAAUAACAACCACACUUUAAAAAACCCUCUUAGAUUGCUUUGAUCUAAUGGUUUGGAUAGCUUUCACAAUCAUAUUUUUUUUUAAAAAUACAAUAAAAUCAAAAUAGCAAAACAAGAAGAAAGAACAACAGCAUUAAUUAGCUGCUUAAUACAUUAAUUAGUUGCUUAUUACAUUUUUAUGAUUUUGCAAUGGUAGGAGUUCUUAGCCUGCAUGAAAAGCAGAACACCACAUGAACAGCAGAACAAGGGCUGCCCACUUCCUGGAACUUCAUUGCUGCUGACUUUGGUGAUUUGUUCACACUACCAAUCUUUCCUUAACAACUAAGGAUUGAUUUUAACCACAUAUUUUUGCCGAGUUUCUCUGUUUCUCAAUUCAACCUAUUUCCUUCAAAAAAUACAAUUAAGCUUAAAAAAACUCAAUUAUGCAAAAAAAAUAAGUUCAAAUACUAGAUCGAAAACUUUCAAAAACUUUAUUAUUAAUAUCUACAAGUCUAGUCAAUAGUAAUGAGCAUAAAACUCCCUUUUCUUUUAAUUUAUACUAUAAUUUUGUAUUGUGACACAUACUUUUUAAAAAUAUUUUUUAUUUAAAAUCUUAUUAAAUAUUAUAUAUAUAUAUAUAUAAAAUAACAAGAAAUAUUAAAAAAUAUAUUAAUUUAAUAUUUUUUAAAUUAAAUAUAAUUAUAAAAAUCACUCAGACACAGUUAAAAAAAAAAAACAGCCUCCCUCACUGUUUUUGUCCUCUGUUUAUACGUGUUUUGAUUCUGACAACUACUCUAUUAUCCUCUUCUUUCAUGCUACUUUUCAAACUUUCUACAAGACUGGCCCUACGUGACCUUACUCUCUGCCUUCCUUGUCCCUUUCCUUUCUUUCUCCUUCUUUUCUCUCCUCACUUGAGUGUGUGGCACAGAUGGGACUCAUAGACAAUUACGUUUAAUUGCUUGAGUUUGAUCCUUUGUUGUGUUCGUUCCAUUAAUUCUACUUCUUUGCAAGUCUUUUCCCUUGAUGAUCUGUUUUUUUUUUAAUAAAAAAAGAAGAAAACUAAAAAAAACAUUGACCGAUCAUAGCUUAGGUUAAUUAUAUUUGUUGUUGGAAGCGAGCUGGUAUCAUCCAUGGAGGCGUCUAAGUGAUUAUCCUGAACCUUUCAUUCGUUUGUUUCUUUGCUAGGUGAGUUCUUUUACACAUUAUUUUUCUUUAUUUCUUUGUCACUGUCUCUAUAUUACUACGCAUAGUAUCUUAAGUAUGUCAUCAAAAUGCUUAUACCUUGCGUUGUUGCUUUUGAAGCUGGAUUCAAUACAGAGCUAAAGGCCUUCUCCAUUUCAUUGAGCAAUCAGUACCAGUGCUUUUCCCACAUAUUUUCUCAAGUUAAGGUAAUGAAAUUCCUAUUCCCAUUCUCUCUGCGCCUCUUUUACUUGCAAUGACUCACUCUCACGUUCUGUAUCCUUGUUUCUCUGAUAUUUUUGGCACAUAAUUAGCUGCUUAUUACUUUUUUAUUGUUGUGUUUUAAUUAUAUGAUUUUACGAUGGUAGGAGUUCUUAGUCUGCGUGAACAGCAGAACACCACAUGAACAUCAGAAAAAAGGCUGCCCACUUCCUCGAACUUCUUUGUUUUUUUUUUUUAACACUAAAAGAGGAGCCAAGUUUGACUUUCUUUGUUUCUUUCCUUUCUUUUUCUUUCUUUUCUCGGAGGAGAAAGAGGGUUGUGCUGCUCAUUUCGUUUCAUUUUCUUGGAAACCAUACAGAAAAUUCUUGGAUCUGUUGAUUGUUUUCUAGCUAUUAGUCUUUUUCUCUCAUUCACUCGGUUUCUUUGGGUGCUGACUAGUUGUUUUUGGUCAAGUAAUGAUCUCUUCUUUUGUUCCACUGAAAUUCUUGAUGUUUUGGUCGGGAAUAAGUUUAGCUCCUUUUGCUUGUCUAGAAAAUUAAGGGAAAGUAACAGAGACAAUUUAGAACCCUUUAAGAUUUUUGCCACUAUGGUUUAGUCCUUCACUUUCCUGGAGUUAUGAGGUUCGGUUAAAUGGAGAAAGGGUUGUUUCUGGUUUUGAGAUUGAGAGAUGGGGUCUUGAAAAGUGGCAUGGCUGGUGGUUGUGUAGGCUAUCGUUGUGUGGGCGGUCGCCAAAAUUCAGUUGGGAGAGGAAAUUGGAAGAGAGAGUAUAUAUAUAUAUUUCUUUAUUUUGCUCAAGAGAAACCAGAUGUGUCUUCUGUUUGUUCUGCACUAUGUUACAAGCUUGAUUUUUUUUAAAAAAAACUUGUUUUUAACCUAUUUUUUAUCCAAAAUAUUUAUAAAAUACUAUAUAAACCUUAUUAAACCAAUACAGUUAAAAAAAUAAGGAGCCUCUCUCCCUGUUUUUGUCCUAUAUUUAUGUGUUUUGAUUUGGACAACUACUCUACUAUCAUAUUUUUUUUCGUAAUAAUUUUCAAGCUAGUUUUUAAAAAAUUAAUUUGAAAUAAAAAUAAAAUUUAAUUUAAUUUAAUUUUUUAAAAAAAUACUUAAGAACAAACACGUAAUUUCUCUUCUUAUUCGCUACCGUGAUUUCAGGUCCUCAUUUCCUGCAUUAUUUGUAAGAGCAUGAAAAACAAAACAAACAAACGAGGCUAUCAAAAACUAAAACUUAAAAUAUAGAAAAAAAAAAGUACUAUUGUAGUCCACAGUAUAUCUGUGUUUGAAUGAACAAUAAUUUCACCAAUAUUUUAAUUUUUUUUGUUAUUAUAUUAUUAAAGUGUCCAAAGAAAUUCCAAAUAAAAGAGACAAAAAAAAUCCCAAUCAAAUAGAUAAACGAGCAUCACAUAUUCAUAUUUUUUUUUAUCUUUACUCUCCUCCGAUCUUUCAAUGUCUACUUCCGUUUCUGCCUCCCUCAACCUCUCCUAUUUCCACGCCCCUCUCUUAUCUCAACCGUUACUAAGAGCUCAAUUGUGAAAAAAAAUAAUUGAGUACCAAAUUGGAAAUUUUCAAAAAAUUCACUAUUAAUAUCCAUAAUGAAAUGAAUAUAAGUGAAUAGUGAUGAAGAGAAAACUCCUUUCUCUUUUAAUUUAUACUAUAAUUUGGUAUUGUGGCACAUACUUUUUAAAAAUAUUCUUUAUUUAAAAACAAAUUAAAAUAUUAUACAUGAAUAUGUGAAUUUGGUCAAUAUUGAGAAUGGGUAUUAAUGAAAACAUCAUUUUUAAAUUAUUUUCAAAUAUAUAUAUAUAUAUAUAUAUAUAUAUAUUAUUAAUUCAACUACAUAAAAUAUUAUUGAUUCGAUGAAAUUUAAUUUGAUUAAGUGUUUAGUGAUUUGAUUUGAUAAAAAUUAGCCAAAUUAAUAUGAAAAAAACAAAACAUUAUCAUUUUAAUAAAAAUAAUUAAUCAAAAGUUAACCUCGGCCCUGGUGACCUAUAAGUUAUAAUCUUUUUCUAAAUUAGCCCUUUGGUAAGGUGUAACAAUUAUAAUAGGAAGGAAACAAUUUAUUCUCCAAUGUCCUUUUCCUUAUUUUAAAUAAAAAAUGAAUUCAUUAAAAAUUAAUUAUUGAUUGCUAGCUCAGCCUGUAAAGGUUAGCCUGAUAUAUAGUUAAGGAUACACACCCUUGAAUUGAUUUUGUACAUGAAGCCAUUAGACUUCCAUGCACCUAAAAAGUUGAAGGAAUCUCAAAUUUUAUUGGUACUUAGGUAUCAAAUACAGAAAUAUAGUAAAUAAAAAUAAAUAAAUAGUAAAUAGUAGUAAAUAGAAAUGGAUUAAUAAAUAGUGGGUUCAUAGUUUCUAACGGCAAGGUCCUCUCUAUACACCAGAGCCCCUGACCGAAUCAAUGCUAUUGUUAAAUAAAAUAGCAUUUUUGGCUUUUGAGUCCAUUCUUGCAAGAGUAGAUGCGUUCAUUUUUGGCUUUUUAAUUUAAAUAAAAUGUGUCAUGCUUAACAUAUUAUUAUUUGCUCCCAAUGGGGAAUUUUGUAGCAUUUUCAAUUGAAAAUUAAGAAUUGAGAUAACUAAAUUUGCAAAAAUAGCAUAGUUUUAAAACUUAAUUUGGCUUUAAAGGUCGAUCCGGGACCUGAUGACCCGGGGUUAGAACCAAGCUGGGUUUAAAAAAAUAAAGAAAGUCAAAUAAGGGAUCAUGCAUAAACUAAUAAAAGCUUUGAUAUAAUAACUACAUGACUAAAUCAACACUUUAUUCAUGUUAAAUAACAAAGAUUAAUUGACCCAAUUUUUUAAUAUAAAUGUUCAUAAAAGAACCUUCAGCCAUUUUACAGUGAAAGAAUUUCCUAGAAGUCUAUCCUAUUUGUUGCAUCAAGUGAUUUUUUGAGAUGUAUAAUUAUAAUAUAAAUAUUUAUAUUGUCAUGUUAUUUUGUUAUUUUUGAAUUUAAUGUGUCAUGCUGGCUCAACUUUUUUAUUAGCAUUGUCAUUAGAAAUACAACAAUUUCGUUAAUAGGUGACUGAGACUUGAUGCUGUACUAUUUGUUUAGAAGAUUGAUACAAAUAUCAAAUAGAAUGAAGAACAAUUUCAUGUUUUCCUAGCAGAAUCCCUUGCUGAAUGGCUCAUCCCUUGUUCAAUGGUCUUUUUAAGCAGAUACCUUGCUAGCUAUUGCUAAACAGAAAACACACUGAUUAUGCUUAUGUCUCUUUUACUUUUUGAAACAAUGAAAGCAAAAGCAUUAGUAGGACACAGUAAGUUUGUCAUCUAAUUUCUCACCAUAACCUUCACAUUUCAUCUCUCAGCCGUUUGUUUUCACUCAAACUAUCUCCGGACCAGUUGUUGAUUUUGGAUCAUUUCCCAAUUGAGGACGGAAGACUACGGGGAUUGAAGCAGACUUCAAGACGUAAGAACCUGCUCUUAUAUCAUGCAAAGAAAAAGAACAGAUCAGAGUUGCUAAACAUGAAAAGAGAACAAGAGCUAAAGCUGCAUAAAUUAGCAGCUUAAUAAAAAGAAAACAAUUUUAUUGUGAUGAUUUGGAAAUAAAAGAGAAUAGAAAAAGACAACAAAACUCUUGGAGGCUUAGAAGUAGGUAUAAAUAAAUGAACGGUAUUGUAGUAAUUGAACAAAGAGUUCAUAAAUAUAAAUAGAAAAAAAAAAGAGAUUUGAAUUCUUAGAGAAAAAACCGUGAGAGUGAAAAAAGAAAAAGAGAAAAGAGGAAAAGAUAAAGAAAGGAUAAGAGAGUUAGAGAAAAUAAAUUAAAAGGUAAGAAUAUUUACGCUUUGAUGUGUAUAAAUGUGUUUUUCUUAGCUUUAAUUUUCUAUUUUGUUGAAUAUUAGGGUUUUGAAGAUUGUGUUUUGGGUUUGAUUGAUGAAUUGAUUUGAAUAUUAUGUAUUGAUUGUUAUGAAUAAUGAGUUAUUUAGUUGAUUUGAAAGAUUUUAAGUAAAAAUGAUGAUUUUGAGUUAUCGUUUAUUUAAAUGGUGAAUUUGAGUUAGAAAUCUUGUUAUAUCAGUAGGUGAUAUGUGAAAAUUCUAGGUUUAAGAUUGAAAAUGAUAAAUUUCAGUUUGGUCUCUCAAUUUAUGAAAAAUUUAGUUUAGUCCCUAGAGCAUAAUCUGAGAUUCUAGAUAAAAUGUAAUGUUGAGAAAUUAUAAGGACAUGUUAUUUAGUAGCUCAAAAAGAUAAGGGACUAAAAUGAACUUUGCAAACAAUUACAAUGUCGCCGCAUAUUUUUACCGAGUUUUUCAUUUCAGUCAUUUAUCUUUGAAUUCAACUCUUAUAUUUAAAAAACAAAAUGCAAUUGAGUUUUAAUUUGGGCAUAAAGAGAUUCGAUUAUGAAAAAAAAAAAUUCAAAUAUCAAAUUGAAAAUUUUUAAAAAAUUCACUAUUAAUAUCCACAUCCACAACAAAAUAAGUCUUGGUAAAUAGUAAUAAACAGAAAACUCUUUUAUAUUUUAAUUUGUACUAUAAUUUAGUAUUGUGACACAUAUUUUUUUAAAAUAAUUUUUUAUUUAAAAACAUAUUAGAAUAUUAUAUAUAUAUAUAUAUAAUAACAAGAAAUAUUUAAAAAUAUAUUAAUUUAAUAUUUUUAUAAAUUAAAUAUAAUUAUAAAAACCACUCUGACACAGUAAAAAAACAAAUAGCCUCUUUUUCAUACUAAUUUUCAUCUUCUAUUUUAUACAAGACUGGCCCCCUACGUGACCUUAUUUUCUUCCUUCUUUGUCCCAUUCCUUUCUUCCUCCUUUUAUCAUGCCGUGAUUUUAAGGUUUUUAUUUUAAAUGCUUGAAUAAGUAGUUGUUUUUUAAAAUAUUUUUUAUUUUAAAAAUAUAUUAAAAUAAUAUUUUUUUUAUUUUUUAAAAUUAAUUUAGAAUACAAAAAAUAAUUUUAUAAAAAAAUAAUUUAAAAAAUAAAAACCAAACACGCUAUUUCUCUCCUUAUUCGCUGCCGUGAUUUCAGGUCCUCUUUUCCUGCCUUAUUUGCAGCCUUAUUUGCAAGAGCAUGGCUGUUAACAACUAAAACUCAAAAUAUAGAGAAAAAUAGUAUCGUAGUCUUUCCUUUUCUGCCUCCAACAACCUCUCCCUCUAUUUCCACGUCCCUAUCUUAUCUCAACCGUGCCUUUCCUCUCUCUUUUUUUUCUUUUUUUUUCUUUUUUUUAAGCCUUUUAGCUUUCUCUCUCCCACUUUGUAUCCUUUCCUAGUGGGUAGAUAAAGUUGAACACGUGGCGACCAUCUAUUAGCUUUUGAAAUUACCUUUAUCUCCAUGUCACAGUAGAAUCUAAGUUACUGUUUGUUUGAUUGAUGUAAUUUUUUUUUAAAUAAUGUUUUCGGAAAGUAAAAUAUUUUUUGGUAUUUGAUAAUAUCAUAUAAAAAAAGUUAGAAAAUAUUUUUUAGUAUUUAGUAUCAUAUAAAAGCAAAUAACAAUCAUAAAAAUAAAGACAAAAUUUAAUAUAAAAUCAAAUUCUAAGGGGUGAAAUUAAAAACAAAAAUAUUCAAAACAAAAUAUAUAGCAAUUAAAAGUUUGAGGACCAAAUUUGUUAUAAUCAACAAAUAAUAUGAUAUUUCUAAAUUUUUAACAACUUCUGGAAAGUAUUUUCCAUCUAAAAUUAAAAAAAAACACGUUUUUGAAAAUAAAGCUAAUUUUUUUACUAAAAAGUAUUUUUUAUUGACUAAUUUUUUUAAUAAUAAAUAAAUAUUAAAAAAAUUUAAAAUUUAUUUUUUAAAAAAUUAUUUUCGUUAAACAAACGAGUCAUAGUUAGGGGUGAUCAUUUUCGGUUCGGUUCGAUUUUUACCUUUAAAAAACAACCAAACCGGAAAGCAAAAAAAAAAAAGGGACCCAAACCGAACCCAAACCGGUCCAAACCGACCGGUUUCGGUUCGGUUUGGGUCCGGUGUUUUAGGUCCAAAACCGGAAAAACCUAUGGUUAUUUUUCUGGCUUUGUAAUGGGCUUCGUAAUGGGCUUUUAAUGGAUUUCUGAUGGGCUUAUAAAUGAUGUUAAUAAUAUCUAAUUUUCUUAAAAAAAUUCCAAAGUAUAUUUAAUUUUUUUGCCACUAAAUAUUCAUUUAUAUUAAGUUGUUAUUGUCAAUCUUGUGUUCAAUAUAUUUUUUACCUUUCUAAUUUUUUUUCUCAUGCUUCAAAAAAAUUUAAAUAACAUUCAGUCACAUAUCAAUAAGUUAAAAUCCAAAUUAAUACAAAUUACAAACCAAUGUCUUCAAAGGGCUUAAAAAAACAACAAAUAACAUUAUAAUAAAACAAUAUUGUAUACUUGUUGGAGGAAUUUUGCCUUGGUCGACAACCUGAGGCAAGAUUGAAGUUUCAUUAGCGAUAAAUAUCAAAGAUUUGAAUAAGAAUUUGUCAUAUAAAUAAAGAGCACAAAUCCAGCAGUAAUAUAGCUUAUUAAGACCAUAAAUAAUCUGGCAUCAUCAUUCAUGAAGCCCAAUAUUGUCAACAUAAUUAUCCAUCAUAAAACAAGUCACACUUAACAUCAACACUAAAAUCAAAAUUUUGCAUUACCAAUACCUUUUUCUUUAUAAUCAAUCUUACCAAACCCGACUUGUAGAGGAAAGAACUAGUUGCACCUACUCUAGCAACAAUAACUUGCAAACGAAAGGAACUGGAGAGAAGCAAGAAUUACAGGUGCAUAUGUACACAUGCACACGAGACAGAGACACACAGAAAGAGAGUUUCACAACCACUGCAAAUAAAAAGAUAGUUCAUCUUCCCAAUACAUAACCUCUAUGCUUGCUGGUUACAACUGAAAUUUGGAAGACUAAAGUGUCUAGAAGAAAUAAACAAUAUUUUUCUCAAAUAGAUUAUAGAAUAAAGUAGAACAAGGCAACAAGCUGCAUGUCUAAAAUAGAAUGUCCCCGCUAUAUAUCACUAAGCCACUUGAGUCAAUUUCUUAGUUGGAUAGCAACACAGUAAGCCAUCAAAAUUUUAAGAUAUAGUUUUUUGUUAAGAUUAAAAUUAUAUUUUGGCGAGCAAAGGUGAAAUUUUUUGGAUAUUAAUUCUAAGAUUUAAACUUAAAAAGUAGAUGAAAAAAAUAUAUUUUAAUUAGAUUCCCUUUUAAAAAAGAAAAAGAAAAAAAAUCAAUCCAACAAAUUCCUAUAAACCAAUUCAUAAUCAUGCAAUAUCUCAAAGAUUCCCUUCAAAUCGGGUCUGUUAUGUGACUUAUGUCGCAGCAUCAAACAUUAUUCAAAGAGAUUUGAAAACUAUUUCCCCAGCAAUUGGUUAAUCCAUCCUUGUCAGACUAUGUUUCAAGUUUCAACUCAUAUAAACUAAUUCAUAAUCAUGCAAUAUCUCAAAGCUUAAGCCAAAGUAAAUAAUAGAGUCAAUUUUUAAAAAGCUAACUUCGAAUACAAACUUUUGUUGGCAGUUCCAAAUUCCAAUCUACUAGUGAGAAAGAAAAGAAGGAAAAAAAAUUGAGGACAUACUGUUUGCGAUUGAUUGUCUUUUGAGAAUCUGAGACAGGGACAACGAUUCCAAUUUCCUUUCCAAAUUGUGUUCUUUCGUCCACCUUCAUUUUUAUAUUGUUCAAAAUAAUUAACACAUCAAAAUAGAAAAAUAGAAACAAUAUAAAAUCAACAAGCAAUAAUUAAUUAAAUAUGUAAUUACAUGACAAGAUUACCUGAGCGAUGUAAUCGGCUUUGAUAGAAGCAAUAGAUUGAAGAAGAUCUGAAAGCGGUAACGUUUCGCCACCUCACACGCACAGCGGUUUCUUUCGAGAUUCGAAGAAUGGUUGUCCGAGAAUAGCCUAAGCUCGUUGACUGGUGAAGAGGAGGCGGCUGUUAAUGGGAGGGAGCGGCUGUUAAUGGGAGUAGGGGUGAUUGGAGGGGGCGGCUGUGUCUGUGAAGUGUGAAUGAAGAUUGAAAGGGUUUGAGGGGAGGGGGCGGCUGUGUGAAAGGGAAAGCAAAUAAAUGGUCUGCUAGGGUUGUUAAAAGGGAAAGUAAUGGGAGGAGGCAACCCGCUUGGUUUAUAUUUUUUUUUCAUUCCUAAACCGAACCGGUUCGGUUCGGUUCGGGUUGGCUGGUUCAGGUACACCAAAACCGGAAACCGAACCGAAUCAAACAUUUUCCUAAAUAUUUUAACCGGUUCAAUCGAUUUUUUUUACCGGUUCGGUUUUUUCAGUUAUUUUUUUCUGGUUUUCUUGGUUAAAUUGAUUUUCCGGUUUUUUUGCUCACCCCUAGUCAUAGUUAUGACUUUGAACAAGUGGCGAUAAUCUAUUGGUUACUUGGAUCAGCUGGUCACCAUGUCACAAAAAGAUUUAAAAUUCUCCUUUCAUUUACUCACGUUGUUAUAUUGGUACUUUCUCAUAAAUUUGUUUUUAAAAAAAAAAACUGAAAUUUUUAAUUAUAAUCUGUAAGUAUAAUUUCUUAUGUAAUGUAAUUGUAAUCCCUAGCAUAAUGCAUAUUCUAGGGCAAGCACAUCAACUCAAGAGCAAAGCAACUCGAUGAAAUAGCAAAAGAAAAAGAUUUGAAGGACUGAAAUAAAAUAAAACCACAAAAGAAAGAUGAAGAAAGUAACCGUAAUGUGGAUGCCACCAAAAACCUAGUUCUUUUAGCUUUUAUUUAUUUAUUUAAUAUUGUAAUAGUGAUUACCUCAUUGAGUGUGACACAGAGAUGAUCAUCAUAGAUAAUUUAUUUUUAAUUGCUUGAGUUUCAUCCUUUAUUGUGUUCAUUCCAGUAAUUCUAUUUCUUUGCAAGUCUUUUCCUGUUUUUUUUUUAAUUUUAAAAAAAGAAUAAAACUAAAAAAAACCUUUACCGAUCAUAGCUUAGAUUAAUUAAUUAUAUUUGUUGUUGGAAGCGAGCUAAGUGAUUAUCCUGAACCUUUCAUUCGUUUUUUUUUUAUAACCUGGGGUGUCCGGGCUAGCUUGCGCGCACCACGACAAUUCUCUGGGUCUACUGAACAUCCUGCAAGUCCAGUAGACAGGUAAUGCACCGCGGGGGUGACAGGAAUACACAUGAAGGGUCGAACUUGGGACGGGGGGCAAGGCAAGCCUCGCCUGUUGACCACUGAGCUAGACCCUUAAGUGCCCUUUCAUUCGUUUCUUUUUUUUUUAGUUUUUUAGUUUAACGUGGGUGUCCGGGCCAACUUGCGCGCACCUCGACUAAUCCCACGGGCCUUGAAGUUAACGACCAUGUAAGCCUCUAGCGGCCAUCAUAUGAGCAAUCACAGGGCUCGAACCUGAGACCACAGAGGGAGCAAACCUCUUGGUCCCAAGUUCUUACUACUGAGCCACCACCUAGAUGGUUCUUUCAUUCGUUUCUUUCUUUGCUAGGUGAGUGCUUUUAUACAUUUUUUUUUGUUUGCCACUGUCUCUAUAUGAUGUUAAUUAUGUCAUCAAAAUGCAUUUUUAAUGGGAAUUACUGCUUUAACUCACAAGUGUCAGUUAGAAUCCUUAUACCUUGCCUUGUUGCUUUUGAAGCUGGAUUCCAUACAGAGCUAAAGGCCUUCUCCUUUUGUUCCUCCCGCUAUUUCAUUGAGCUCUCAGUACCAGUGCUUUCCGCGCAUAUUUUCCCAAAUUACGGUAAUGGAAUUCCUAUUCCCAUUCUCUCUGCCCCUGUUUUACUGGUAGUGACUCACUCUCACGUCCUGUAUCCUCAUUUCUCUUAUUUUCAGACUGGUGGAAAAUGGCUAUCGAAAGUGUGGGUGGAUCCAUUAUAUCUAAGAUAGCAGAACUCAUGGUGGAACCAGUGGGAAGGCAGUUCCGUUACAUGUUCUGUUUCAACAAUUUUGUUGAAGAAUUCAAAGAACAAAAGGAGAACCUUGCUUUAGCACUAGAUGGUCUGCAAAAAGAUGUCGAAGCUGCUGAAAGGAAUGCUGAAGAAAUUAAGAAAGUUGUCAAAAAGUGGAUGGAAGAUGCAAACAGCAAAAUUGAAGGUGCGAAGCCCUUGGAAAAUGAAAUAGGAAGAAAUGGCAAAUGCUUUCCUUGGUGCCCAAACUGCAUGCGACAAUUCAAGUUAAGCAAGGCACUGGCCAAGAAGUCGGAGACUUUCAGAGAACUUUUAGAAAAAAAGCCUACUAAAGUGUCCUACAGAGCUCAUCCUCAGCCCAUAGAAUUUCUUCCAUCAAAGGAUUUCACGCCCUCAGAAUCUUCAAAAGAAGCUUUGGAACAGAUUAUGAAAGCUCUCAAAGAUGACACCGUCAAUAUGAUCGGACUGUACGGCAUGGGAGGGGUGGGUAAAACCACCCUGGUGAAAGAAGUAGGCAGGAGAGCCAAAGAGUUGCAGCUGUUUGAUGAAGUUUUGAUGGCUACGGUGUCGCAGAAUCCAAAUGUCACAGACAUUCAGCACCAAAUGGCAGAUAAGUUAGGUCUGGAUAUUAAAGAAAAGAGUACUAAUGCAGGGAGAGCAGAUCGAUUAUGGCAGAGACUGAAGCAAGUGGAGAAGAUGCUUAUUAUCCUAGAUGAUGUUUGGAAAUAUAUUGACUUGAAAGAGAUAGGGAUCCCAAUUGGUGAUGAUCACAGGGGUUGUAAAAUACUUCUAACAACACGUCGUACAAAUGUAUGUUCUUCUAUGAAAUGCCAGCAAAAAGUGUUCUUAAGAGAAUUACCUGAAAAAGAAGCAUGGGAUUUAUUCAGAAUCAAUGCAGAUUUACUUGAUGGGCACCCUACCUUGAACACAGUGGCAAGGGAGGUUGCGAGAGAAUGUCAAGGCUUGCCCAUAGCACUUGUGACAGUGGGAAGGGCUCUAAGAGAUCAAUCUGCACUUCAGUGGGAAUUAGCGUGUAGACAGCUCAAAGAAUCUCAAUUUGCGCGCAUGGAACAAAUUGACGAAAAAAAUAAUGCUUAUACAUGUCUUAAGUUGAGCUAUGAUUAUUUGAAGCUCCAGGAAACCAAGUCAUGUUUCGUGCUAUGCUGUUUAUUUCCAGAAGACUAUGACAUUCCAAUCCAGGACUUGACGAGAUAUGCAGUUGGCUAUGGGUUACAUCAAGAUGCGGAGCCCAUUGAAGAUGCAAGGAAACGAGUUUCUGUGGCAAUCGAAAACCUCAAAGAUUGUUGCAUGCUGUUGGGCUCUGAAACUGAAGAACAUGUGAAAAUGCAUGACCUUGUUCGUGAUGUUGCUAUUCACAUAGCAUCAGAAGAAUAUGGAUUCAUGGUAAAGGCUGGCUUAGGGUUAGAGAAGUGGCCAAUGAGCGAUACAAGCUUUGAAGGUUGUACAACAAUUUCGUUAAUGGGCAAUCAACUAGCAGAACUUCCUGAAGGAUUGGUAUGUCCAAAGCUCAAAGUUCUAUUGUUAGAAGUGGAUUCUGGUUUGAAUGUUCCAGAGAGGUUUUUUGAAGGGAUGAAAGAAAUUGAAGUUUUGUCUCUGAAGGGAGGGUGUUUGUCAUUGCAAUCACUUGAACUCUCAACGAAACUUCAAUCGUUGGUGUUGAUCUCGUGUAAUUGCAAGGACCUCAUUCGGUUGAGAAAGCUGCAGAGACUUAAGAUUCUUGGUCUUGUGUCGUGCUCAUCCAUUGAAGAAUUACCUGAUGAAAUAGGAGAGCUCAAGGAGUUAAGGUUGUUGGAUGUGACAGGUUGUGAAAGGCUAAGAAGGAUCCCUGUGAAUUUGAUUGGAAGGUUGAAGAAGUUAGAAGAGCUGUUGAUCGGGCAUCGCAGCUUUGAUGGAUGGGAUGAUGUUGGAUGUGACAGCACAGGAGGAAUGAAUGCAAGACUAACAGAACUAAAUUCGUUGUCUCAGUUAGCCGUAUUAUCAUUGAGGAUACCGAAGGUUGAAUGCAUUCCUAGAGAUUUUGUUUUUCCAGAUAGCUUGCGCAAAUAUGAUAUAAUAUUAGGGAAUGCUGAUGGAUAUUAUAGAAUGUUUAGGGAUCGCUACCCAACCUCCUUAAUUUCGACAGCUGGUACAUCCUUGAAUGCGAAGACAUUUGAGCAAUUGUUUUUACAUAAAUUAGAAUCUGUACAAGUGAGCAGUUGUGGGGAUGUUUUCACUCUGUUUCCAGCAAGAUUGCGGCAAGGUUUUAAAAAUCUAAAGGAGGUGAUUGUUGACAGCUGUAAAUCAUUGAAAGAGGUAUUUGAAUUGGGUGAGGCUGAUGAAGGAAGCAGUGAGGAGAAGGAGAUGCCGCUGCUGUCAUCUUUAACAGAGUUAAAGCUGAAAAUAUUACCUGAGCUAAAAUGCAUAUGGAAGGGGCCCACCAGACAUGUCAACCUCCAAAGUCUUAUUAAUCUGGAGUUGUAUGCUCUCGACAAACUGACAUUUAUCUUCACACCGUCCCUUGCUUACAGUCUGCCAAAGCUACAAAGACUUUACAUAAGUGAUUGUGGUGAAUUGAAGCAUAUUAUCAGAGAAGAGGAUGGUGAAAGGGAAAUAAUUCCAGAGUCUCCUUGCUUCCCACAAUUAAAAAAUAUCUACAUAUAUUUCUGUGAUAAACUGGAAUAUGUCUUCCCAGUCUCUUUGUCUCAUAACAGAGAUGGCAUCAUCAAGUUCCCUCAACUAAGAGAAUUGUCUCUUGGGCUCAGAUCAAAUUACAGCUUUUUAGGUCCAAGGAAUUUUGAUGCUCAAUUGCCUUUGCAAUACUUAGCCAUUCAAGGCCACGAAGAAGUGGGUAAUUGGUUGGCACAGCUACAAGUACGUAAUUUAUAUUUCUCCACUAAUUUAAAUUGUCAAUUGCGAUAAUUUAUGCUUUCUUCCUCCCGAUUUCUUAAAGUAAAGUAAAUUAAAUUGGCUUAUUUUUAUUUUUAUCUAAACAUAUAUAAAUAUAAGAAACUUAACUGCCUCAUUGUUGUCUGCGUUAUUAAAAAUUAAUCAUAUGGAAUAACAUAUUAUCUGUUAGAUUUAACUGCCUCAUUUGAAAUAUAUUAUCUGUUAGAUUUAACUGCCUCAUGGUUUACGUAAUUUAUAUUAUAUCUGUUAGAUUUAUUCUUUCUUCGUCACUGCUUAUUUUUUUGUUUUAUCUAAACAUAUAUAAAUAUAAGAAACUUAAUACCAACAAUUAAUCAUAGAAAUCAUAUUAGCUUAUUUUGUGUUCAAAUAUUUAAUUCAAUUAAAAUAUCUUUAAAAAUUUAUUAACUUUAUAACUAAAAUAAAAAUAUUAGGUACUAUUUUUAUUUUUAUUUUUUACAUGAAACUAAUUAUUAGGAGUUGUAGUAACCUUUUUUCGCAAAAAUCUAAUUAUUAUUUAACUUAUCUCUAAUUAAGAAAAAAACUGAAACAAUAAUAUGUAAUCUCUAAAAAGUAUGUAAUCCUGUUUUUUCUUUUUUUUUCUCAUCAUAUAAAUUGUUUUUAUGAGUGAAAAAAUAUAAUAUUGUUCUCUGAUAAGAUGGCCGUCCAUGGGCAGCAAAACGGCUUCUUACAAAGAUUAGAAUUUGUACGAGUGGACGAUUGUGGGGAUGUUCGCCCUCCGUUUCCAGCAAAAUUGCUGCGAGCUUUGAAAAAUCUAAAGAGUGUGGAAAUUGAGGACUGCAAAUCAUUGGAAGAGGUAUUUGAAUUAGGUGAGCCUGAUGAAGGAAGUAGUGAGGAGAAGGAGCUGCUGUCAUCUUUAACAAUGUUAGAUCUGCAAAGGUUACCUGAGGUCAAAUGCAUAUGGAAGGGGCCCACCAGAUAUGUCAGCCUCCAAAGUCUUAAUAUUCUGAAAUUGAGAUCUCUCGACAAACUGACAUUUAUCUUCACACCGUCCCUGGCUCGAAGUCUGCCAAAGCUAGCAGGCCUCUACAUAAAUAAUUGCGCUGAAUUGCAGCAUAUUAUCAGAGAAGAGGCUGGUGAAAGGGAAAUAAUUCAAGAGUCUCCUGGCUUCCCAGAAUUAAAAACUAUCAUCAUAGAAGAGUGUGGUAAACUGGAAUAUGUCUUCCCUGUAUCUGUGUCUCCAAGCCUUCUGAACCUGGAAGAGAUGCGGAUUUUUAAAGCUCAUAAUUUAAAGCAAAUAUUUUACAGUGUAGAAGGAGAUGCACUCACCACAGAUGGCAUCAUCAAGUUCCCUAAGCUAAGAAAAUUGUCUAUUUCAAAUUGCAGCUUCUUUGGUCCAAAGA